UUUUGACAUUCAAUCUUUUAACGACAGAUGUUGCGAGCAAUGUACAUUAAAAGGACGAGAGCCGCCGCGCCCGUUGCUGGGGACGUAGUAGGGCGCGUUUGGUUGGGCCACCCCAUUAUGUGGAUUUUGAUCCUGUCCAUCAUUCCGAUGGCUGCGGUGCCCAGCUGCAUUGGCCUCUUCUUGGGUGGAUCCUAAGCCCGGCACGAUCAGCUGCUGAUCUUUUGGUCACAAAGAAGAUGCAGAUGAAGCCCUGCGCAGGAGAACAAGUCAGAUCAAUUUCUGCAACAAUAUCAACUAAUAAAAAAGUGGUUCUAGCAUUGUGAUGAUUUCCUCUUCGGUUCGUUUGAUGUCCAUUCCGAACCGGGUUUCUCCAGGUUCGGGGACUAGUUCAACUGAAAACAACCAUUGAGCGCUUGUGUUA
This is a long non-coding RNA of Eucalyptus grandis, 421 nucleotides long. RefSeq lists it as uncharacterized. NCBI's taxonomy places the organism in Eukaryota, Viridiplantae, Streptophyta, Magnoliopsida, Myrtales, Myrtaceae. The record is from RefSeq and is a predicted model, not a curated record. The transcript has 2 exons.